UACCAUAUUCUCUCAACCCUAACCAAUUUUGAACGCCGUUCGUCCAUGAUUCUUCAUCAGACUUCCAUCAUCAACCUAUUAAUUCGAAAUAUCUGUUCGUUUACUGCGGUGGAUUCUGGGAGUAAGGCCUUCGAGUUUUUGGGUCUGUAAGAUGUUGAAGAUUUUUCAACUCCGUUUGAUCAACCUCCAAUAGUGUUUAGCCAAUAAUUAUGCCAGAAGGUGAAAAACUGGAAGUUUGAUCAUCAGUAUUGCAAAUGGAAGCUUGAUCAUGGGAAGCAAAUGUUGCACGAGAGACAUUAGAAGAAUCGGAAGUAGUGGAAAGAUCAUAUGGUUCAAUAAUGUUGGAGACAUUAACAAUGAGUGAAGAUGGGUAAGAAUAGUGUCAGCAGACACCCGACUGAUGUUUUUUUAUGCUACAUCUGCUCAAGAGCCAGGUGUUAAGGUUUAAUAUUGCUCGUGCAGGGGGUGCAGCCCAUUUGCCAGGCUGAUUUGAAAGAUUUGAUGCUGGUUUCUGCAUAGAUCUUCAUGAUGAUUUGAACUUUUGGUUGGGUUGCAUAUGAUUCUUUUAUGCAGCAUGAUGUUCAAGAACUCAAUAGUGUUCUUUGUGAGAAAUUUGAAGAUAAAAUAAAAGGAACUCUUUUGGAAGGCCCAAUUCAACAAUUAUUGGAAGGCCAUCAUAUGAACUACACUGUGUGCAUAAAUGUAGACUGCAAAUCAACAAGGACGAAAUCAUUUUAUGAAUAUCAUCCAAAAUAGGGCUUGGUCGAUGGUUGAAGGAGCAUACAGGAUGAUUUCUGAGUUCUAAGGUUUGGUCAACGGUUUCAAGACGAAGCUUCUAGGCCAAAUGCUCUAUUAUAUUUUACCAGGAGCAUGACAACACACAUUGGGAGAAGAAUAUUGUUAUAUCACAUGUGUUGAGAAUUAUAUUCUAUUUUGUAGAUACUCAAACCUUUAUUUCAUUAUACACUUUUUCAUUUGUCAAUCGAAACUGAAAUUUUGAGUUAGGGAUUUGAGAUAUAGUUUGUACUUUGAAACCCUAAAUCUAAUUGUGGAAGAUGAAUACUAACCUGGGUAUGUUAGGGGUGUCAAUCCUGCCUGGUUGAAUAUGGGAACCGAACACGACCCAUUUUUUUAUUCUUGUCAAAAAUUUCAACCCUAUCCCGGAUACACAGAA
Molecule: long non-coding RNA, 1174 nt
Filed under: Helianthus annuus (common sunflower)
Lineage: Eukaryota; Viridiplantae; Streptophyta; Magnoliopsida; Asterales; Asteraceae
Source: RNAcentral